Long non-coding RNA from Ananas comosus (pineapple), 783 nucleotides. RefSeq lists it as uncharacterized. The transcript is spliced from 2 exons. NCBI's taxonomy places the organism in Eukaryota, Viridiplantae, Streptophyta, Magnoliopsida, Poales, Bromeliaceae. The record is from RefSeq and is a predicted model, not a curated record.
UGUUCCAAAUUUCACGCCCGCCACGGCCCCUCUCUCUCUCUUUCAUCAUCGUCUCUUCCCAAAUCACAAACGACGAGGUUUAUGAAUAGGAGCUUCUCUCUCUCUCUCCCACACCCGCCCUACUCGGCUCCUAAACCCUCUCAUUUAGGGUUUUCUAGGGUUUCUUAGCUCCUGAGGUUUCCGUUGGGGGAAUUGGAGCUCGUGAUCUCUCUCUAGGGUGUUUAGGGCUUCUCUCCGCUUGCUCCUUUCCCCCUCUUUGGGGGAUUCGAGCUCGAGAACUCUUCGGGUGGGGGUUAGGUUAGGGUUUGUUUCGUUUUGGGGGUGGCUCUGUGGAGGUUUCUUCUCGUCGGAUGGAGGGGAGGCGGAUCCCGAUAAGCCCGCGGCCGUGUAGCGGGCGGAGGAUCGUCGCGAGGAAGCGGCCACGGGUGGACGGGCUCGUGAACACCGUGAGGAAGCUCCAGAGGCGGGAGAUCAGCUCCGCGAGAGAUCGGGCGUUUAGCACGAGCAGCGCCCAGGAGAGGUUUCGCAACUUCCGGUUGCAGGAAUAGCAGGUCCACUACAAGGUCAGCCACAGUUAUUCAUCUCUCAUUCUGCACAAUUCAUAUAGGGUGGUGGUUCAAAGCGAGCAACUGGUUGAGAGGAGCUGCGUUAUGAGCGACAUUUUGUAGUUGAAACUCAUGUAUGAAAUUUAUUAUUUUUUGGCUGGAAUUCAAACAAGCAUUUUGUUGUUGAAACUUAUGUAUGAAAUUUAUUUUUAAUAUUGAAACUGUAAUUUAUCGCAAA